This is a long non-coding RNA of Orbicella faveolata, 2512 nucleotides long. RefSeq lists it as uncharacterized. The record is from RefSeq and is a predicted model, not a curated record. NCBI's taxonomy places the organism in Eukaryota, Metazoa, Cnidaria, Anthozoa, Scleractinia, Merulinidae.
UUUGUCUACGGGAAAGGAUUCGAUUUCAGUCAGUCGUGUUCGAACGAAGAUGGAGUUUAUGAUGCGUUCAUUCCUUCUUGAACGCGUUUCUACCGACUGGUUAAGAAUUGCAGUUAUCUCCAAUUCACUCUGUGUUCUGUGAUUCAUCUUACAGUAUUAUUUCUGACUUGAAUAGCGCGAAAAUAACAUCACAACAUAAAUAUUUAGAUAUGUCUUCAGUUCCUAUAAGCAAGGCCUACGUUUCGAAACGCUCUAAUCGGGUGAAAAACAACCCUAAAUGGACAUUUUUUCACCAUCAAAUAGAGGAAAACAGCACUAGCAGACUUUCUCCGCUCGAAUCACGAAAAUACAGUGAAAAUUUUGGGAGCGAUUGCAAGGUUUCAGUACUGUGGGAUGUCAGCGCCGUGCGAUUGUACGUUGAAACAAGAAAAUGAUGGGACGGAUAAUACAGCGGAUUGCCUGUACUGGAUCAGGAAUUAAUAACACACCCAGAUGUAUGUUCAUCAGACUUUGGUUGGCGCAUCAAGUCCCAGGAACUUCAACAAUUACGUGUAUUAUCACUGAGCCAGUGCAGUAUUCUCUGAACUGUGUUUCAUAACUUGUACAUAGCAAUAUAGAGAGUUAAAUGCUUUUACAUGUAUCUGAACAUAAUAGCAUAAUAUUAUAAGAAGGAUUGAAGAGUCAUGUAGUGUUUACCAUUAAGCCGAAAAAAUCUGGAAAUUUUUGUUGAAAUUCAAAUGUAUUAGUGACAAUUUAUAGAAAACUUGUUCAGAAAUUUUGGACUGCCAUGACCUCCAGAGGUACUCCUCUUGUUCUGUUUGGAAUGGCAUGUUCAAAAUUUUCUUAUUAUUUUCUCAGACAUUUCUUAUAUUAAUUUUCAAGUCGUUCAUGAAUUAAGGGAAUUGGUGCAAGCACCAUCUCUAUUUUGUUAGUUUGCUUAUUUUGGAAAAAAAAAACUUUUCAUAUUAUUCAACAUUCAUUGGUCUACUUCUGACAUUUUUUUCAAGAAAUGGUUACACAUAGCCCUCACAAUGUUCCUCUUAACACUAUCAGGUUCUAGAAAUCUUCUGGUUACGUAGUUUUUCAAAAACUAUUUAAGUAAGAGGAAAGAAAUUGGCCUUCUUGUCAUUGGGAUAUUUUUCCCGCACAGUGUAGAAUUUAUUGUCAAUAUAUAGUAAAAUGAGAAGAAGAUAGUUUAAGUUUGAUGGCUUUUACACCCAGAUCUUUAUUCAAAUGAUACAUAUUAGUUGUUUUCCAUUUGGAAAAAAAUUCCAAAAAAUUUGGUGAAGAAUCUGUGUUCCAGGGCAGCUGAUUGUUUUCCACUUGUAGUUUCCUGAAGAACCUGCCAUUUGUUUGUCUUAGGUGCAAAAUUUGGCAUGGCAAUAAGAGGCCGAAAGGCUUGAAACUAGUGCAAACAAUACAAGACAGUAAAUAAAACACUAAUUUCCAAAGUUUUGGAGCGGCCCAAUAGAAAAACAGGAUUACUUUUGAAAGGUUCUGUUCUGGUGAAGUCAUCAUCCACUUAAGACCAAACCGAAAGGUUACAAGUGACUAUUUUCUUUCCAACCUAGAAUUUCCCAAAUUUUUCUGUGAAUGGAAAACAACCAUACUGCAGUUAAAGCUGUGUAUUAAUUAAAUGUAUAUUUAUUGUUACUACAUAAUAAGUAUUUAAUGAAGAAUAAUCAUUCAGUAUUUGAUAAGGCUUCAACAGUCUAUUAGUUGAAGCACAAGUCAAUUUAACAAAUCAAAUGUGGUUUAGCAUGGUAGACCACAUUUUGAUUUGUUUUUUACCACUAUCAACGUCAAAGAAAAUUUUUCUUCAGAGCGCGAGCUUAAAAAGGCAUUGCAUGACACAUUGACGCAAGUAGCGUUGUCUGGGCUCUUAUCAACAACGGCAAAUUAACCAAUCAGAUAGCGAGAUUAGUAGCAAUUAUGGUAAAAACAAGUUUUGACAUCUUAAAAUGGUCCCUGUUGAAGAUAUGCACUAACUUGUUUUUAUAAAUUUAUCAAUUUACAAUCAGAAUAUAUUUUGAAUGAGAGUAUUUACAGUGUAAAUAAAGAUACAUGGAUUGAUAUGACUUCCAUUCAUUGAGGGAAACACAUGCAAAAUUGAUUGCGAUAUAUAUAUUUUUGAUCUUGUUUUUUAACCUGGAAAAGCUUAUUUCCUUGUGUGUCCAGCUUUGUCCUGACAUACUUGUAAUCUUUACCCAUGGGCUAUUUAAGUCUUAACAUUUCAUGCAAGUUUGUCCCAUGUAUUUUCAGUUUAAAGCUAUCCCAAAAUAAUAAGAAUGACAGUUAAAACAUCAGAGUGGAAACUUUUGCCCGGAUGCCAGAUGGACACCUGCAAAAUGUAGGUCUCUAGUCUGGCUCUUUUGUUCAUACUUGGCAUUUUGAACUUAAUGUGUUCACUGUAGCAAUCCACUGACAGGAUAGGUAACAUGUAGUAAUUUAGAUAUAUAUUGAUGUAAUUUGUAUAUGCUAGUGAAUAAAGAUUGAAUGAUUUCAUCCAAAA